Phyllostomus discolor (pale spear-nosed bat) is the source of this 193-nucleotide long non-coding RNA. RefSeq lists it as uncharacterized. Lineage: Eukaryota; Metazoa; Chordata; Mammalia; Chiroptera; Phyllostomidae. The record is from RefSeq and is a predicted model, not a curated record. The transcript is spliced from 3 exons.
UCCCACAUGGUAUAAUGUUGAUUGUUCUCAAUGUCUUGAUUUGAUCGCUAUCAACUUCAACUGGUCUUACCCAACUGUGGAACAUUGUCCAGUGAGAAAUCAGCAUGAAACUUUGCAAAACACAUUUGACACAUUCAGUCAGUCACAGAACCUUCACCAUGCACUGCACAAAUCCUUUUUUGUGUUUCAGUUG